GAGUUCUCUUUUGUUUGAGAUCAACCACAACAUAAAUAGACAGAGAGUGAACAAGUGAAAGAAAUAUAAUAAGUCCAUGUAUGCUUGUUUUCUAUGUAGUUCACAACAUACAUAAUUUUGGCAGCAACCGUGGCUAUUUACUUACCUCGGGUUUAUUACAAUGUCCUAAGACUUCCUGCUGUUGCUGCCUGAUAUUGCAUCUAACUGCACAUGAUGUGAAGUACUACUGCCUGGAGAGCUUUCCCAAGGUAAGUCCACACACACACGUCUAUAUAUCAACACGCAUACAAGGAGAGAUACCAUAUCUUUCAUAUACACACACACACUCACACACACGCAUAUUCAUACCACCAGUAUUAACAAUAACAACGGAAUAUAUUGUAUCUAGCUAACAUGGUGCGUUAUUUAUUAUUAGAUAUAUGCUCUUGUAUUCACUAAGGCAACCUUACAUACACACACACAUAUAUAUAUAUAUAUAUAUACACACAUAUUUUCUUGACCAAAGCAAAAGCAUAAAUGUAUCUUUUUUUUAUUAUUAUUAUCUUUCAAUCACAUCUCAUUUUGCAUUUUGUUGCUUUUGUCCACUCCUAGUCCUUGAUUUAUAUGAAAAAAAAACAUGAAAAAACUGUAUACACAUAUAUCAUCAGAUAAAAAUAUAAAAAAAAUAAAAAGACUUCAAACGAAUGAAAUUUUUUUACUGUGCUAUAUUUUAAUAUAAACAUAGACUCGGGUACUGACCAAAUAUUAAUUUGAUCAUGAGGAUAUUAAAAUUACGAAACUGAAGUUUUGCAUUUUAUUGUAUGAGUGUGAUGGUGUUAUCUGAUGAAUGUUUAUUCUUCUUUCCUCUGUCUCUAUCCUAUUAGUUUCCAUGGCCUUCGUUUUUCCUUCAUAAAUAGAUACAGUAGAAGGCGAGGGACAUAGCUUGUUUUGUUUUGUUUAUUGUGGUAUGAAGACGAAGGCUCUUUGUUGCGUAGCAAGUCUUGCUUAAUUUUUUUUUCAUAGACCAUAGUGUUUUUGUUUUGUUAUUUUGCUAUUAUUAUCCUUAUCUCUUUAUAGUUUAAGGUCAUUGUUUUAUUUAUGUAUUUACGAUGUAUUUGUUUAUAUCUGUCUUGAGUCAAACGAAAGCAUGCAUUUUUGUCCACUACCAUUCCUACUGAUUUAAAAAGCAAUACGUAUUUAGUAUAUAUAUAUAUAUAUAUAUAAAAGUCGAGGUCUUUAGUUAUGAAUUUCAACGAGCGUCUCUUCUCACACAUAUAACACGCGUAUAUAAACGCUGUUUAUAUGUGUGUAUAUAUACAUACAUACAUACAUGCAUAUAUAUAUAUAUAUACACACACACUCGUACACACAUUCCCACUCGUACAUAUAAACAUUGUUCGUCUUUUCCCCAUUUGUGUUUAUAUAUAUAUAUACAUAUAUAUACACAUAUACAUACACUUUCAUAGAUUUGUAUGUGCAUGUUAGUGUAACCUCGUUAUACAUGUAUAUUGUACAUAUGUUUCUUUUAUGGUUUCCUCUCCGUACUUAUGAUGUUAAGCUGUGAGCAUUACAUUAUGUUAGCUUUUUUUUUUUCUUGUUUCAUGUACUAUUUAUUUGGCGCAGGUUCUUCGAAACGGUGCAAGGUUUACAGUGUGCCAGUGGUGGUAUCAUCGAGUAAUAUCCAGACAAGCCUGGGCUGCCUGUUGUUUGGCAAGACUGCGCAUCUCUGGAGUGAGUUGAGAGGGUGGCAGGUCUAUCUAUAUCUCAGCGGUUUGUUGUCAAUCACUCCCGUAGUCCUCUUUCAAGCAUUUUCAUGAUGCUGGUAGUUAUGAUGCGGAUAAUAAUAAUAAUAAGAUAUUAAAUAAUACGUCGGCAACAGAAAUAGAUAAAAGGAAUUAUAAAUAGAAACAAAAGUCAAAGGUAUACAAUGAUGAAAGGAUAGAAAAAUUAUACUUUCAGUAGUGCGCACCUGCUCGUAUUUUUCUCUAUUCCCAUGGUAAAUUUCUAUUAGGAAAACCUUUCCUAUGUCAAUAAAGCUUACUCUAGAUAUGUGAAUGUUUGGUUAUUUCGUUAAUAAGCAGUUAAUUAUAUAUAUAUAUAAGCAGAUAAACAAAUUUUAUAUAUAUACACGCACAAAAAAGCGAUCAGCUAACACGAACUAUAUAAAUUCAGUCUAUAAGGGGAACGGUGAAAAUGUAUGAGACAUUGCUAAAAAUCAAAAUGUAUCUCUUAGCUGUUGUUUUCAUCUAAAUUCCAACAGUGGAGCUUUGUUUCUUGGUUAGAAUCUAACUCUUCUUUAUAAAGGAAGGGUUCAGAGAAUUAGAAAGAAAAGAAAAAUUGCAGUCACAUACGCACACGUUUUUACAUUUGUUCAGUGCUAAAAAAACCAGAUUUUGAUUUCAACAUUUGUGUAACCACUCACACGUGUAUCCUUAUUUUUAGCGCAGACGUGAUUAUAAGGAAGUGAAAGAUGGUGAACUGUUCUAUAUACGUUCUUCACCAAGAAAUAUGUUUAUAAUAUAUAAACACAACGCACAUACACACACACAUAUAGUGAUCAAUUCAAAUACUUGUUCUAGAUUACUUCGUAUUUAUUUUUUAAUUUUUAUUUGAUACUAGUCUGACCCCGAUAUUUUGAUCUGAAUAUAAUAUAUUCUUUGAAAGAUUUUUUUUUUGUCUUUGCAAUGAAACAAGGCUAGGAUAUUCAUAAAGGAACGGCUCUUUUUUUUUUCUUCAAUGCUUUAAGUUAAGGUCUGCUACAACUAUGAGGAGGUGGCUGCUUUUAAGGAUCUCUCUCUCUCUCUCUCUCUCUGCAUUCUUGAUUAGCCUUGGUACGGUUUAAUGGACCGUACAAAGAAAACCUGGUUAGAGAUAGGGUUAUAUUUGGCAACGAUAUUUCUCCUCGCUUACUCACACUUUGUCAUCAUGACAUCAGGUAACCGUGGUUAAAAUAUGAACCCGACUAUAAUAAAAAAAACAAACAAACUACUGUGGAGUAUUGUGUUGGCUCUUUCAAUGUGUACAUUUAAUAUUUAUAAUUUCAAUUCACUCCAGUAUGUCUAUUAUCUCUCUCUCUCUCUCUCUCUCUCUCUCACACGCACGCACAUCACGUCUUCAUAUAUACACACCAUCAGUAUUUGAAAGUAAAGUUUUGCUGAUAAUUACGGAAACAUAUUCACAAUAAAUAAACAUUCCCAAAUUUGUGAUGGAUGCCAUAUUUAGGCUAUUUGUUGUUCUUUAUCUUCUAAUCGAUUAAAGCUGUUCCAGUUAUGAUCAGACCGUCUUUUUUUUUUUUGUAUAUCAAGCUCUACAUUGUCCAAUAUUUCUUUAAAAAAGAAAAAAAAAAUGUUUGGCAAGACCUCCUUUUUUGUACCCCCCCCCUUUUUUUUUAAAAUUUAACAUAACCAAGAGACAUUCAGAUACCUGCAUGUGUGUAUUAGAACAGGAUUAAGGUGUGGAUAUAUUAUAUGUGCGUACAGUCGUGUGUAUGUUCAUAUAUGUUACACACGCACGCGUGCGCGCGCGAGUAGCUAUAUGGCUUCCCACAAAGCAGAAAGUCAAGUUGUUGCGUCCAAACAGUGGUACUCAUUCUAUUGUUUAGAUCAGGCAUGGACAAUCUUUUUCGAGAAGCGGGCUGCAUGAGACACGGCCCAUUACCAGACGGAUCGCACUGCUAUUAAACUAAGGCGUGUCAUUCAGAAAGUCCUGCAGGUUGCCAUUUGCCCAUGACUGGUUUAGAUAUUUAUAUCGGAUAUACUCUCAUUUGUCUGCACAGUCAGUUAUUUAGUCUAUGCCGAUGAUAGUAAGAUAUCAAAUGACUGUAAAAGGCCACAAAAGAUCUUAAGAGGACCGUGAUGCUGUAUUCAGAUGGGCCAAAGAAAACAGGAGUGAAAUUCAGUUGAGUAAGGUUUCUACCUCUUAGCUAUUGACCUUUCAACAAAGUUCAGCCAGAAUACACAGGACUGGAACUAACUGCAGAACCAGAGUCAGAGACUUUGUGGAAUCCUGGAAUUGUAAUGAUUCAUUGGUCCAUGUAAAUAAGAUGUAAAUGG
Molecule: long non-coding RNA, 4031 nt
Filed under: Octopus vulgaris (common octopus)
Lineage: Eukaryota; Metazoa; Mollusca; Cephalopoda; Octopoda; Octopodidae
Source: RNAcentral